This 386-nucleotide small RNA is filed under the name Histoplasma capsulatum. Its description in RNAcentral is "hypothetical RNA". RNAcentral also lists the same sequence under 1 other name. Lineage: Eukaryota; Fungi; Ascomycota; Eurotiomycetes; Onygenales; Ajellomycetaceae. The record is from RNAcentral.
AACCAAUCAUACAAGUACCUGCCUCUGACCUAUUUAGUUAACGAAAUUCACGAUGAUAUUUGCGCUGGUUAUUCAACAGAAAAUGUCUACAACUUAUGCAGUACUUGUAAGUCUUCUGUAACAAUAAUAUUGUUUAAGGACAUUAUAUCUUCAACAACCAGACAUCAAUCUUGGCCGGUAGCCGUCCCCCUGGCAAAGAGAUCAACAGCGUUUCCCAGACGGUUUAAAUCGGGACACAAACUUUGUCACCAGAUUGGGCACAAAGAUCGAUGUUCAUUUCAGAAAGCAUCAUGAGUGCUAGAUGAGUGAGGGAUGAUAUAUGGCAAUUGUCCCAUGACAUUUGACUUAAGGCCAUUAUAUACCUCAAGCUGAACAAUGGACCCUCC